RNAcentral lists this ribosomal RNA (1675 nucleotides) under Klebsiella pneumoniae. RNAcentral describes it as "partial 23S ribosomal RNA". It matches the Rfam family "Bacterial large subunit ribosomal RNA", at positions 1271 to 2925 of the family's 2925-position model. The record is from RNAcentral. Lineage: Bacteria; Pseudomonadati; Pseudomonadota; Gammaproteobacteria; Enterobacterales; Enterobacteriaceae.
UGCUGGAGGUAUCAGAAGUGCGAAUGCUGACAUAAGUAACGAUAAAGCGGGUGAAAAGCCCGCUCGCCGGAAGACCAAGGGUUCCUGUCCAACGUUAAUCGGGGCAGGGUGAGUCGACCCCUAAGGCGAGGCCGAAAGGCGUAGUCGAUGGGAAACAGGUUAAUAUUCCUGUACUUGGUGUUACUGCGAAGGGGGGACGGAGAAGGCUAUGUUAGCCGGGCGACGGUUGUCCCGGUUUAAGCAUGUAGGCUGAUUAUCCAGGCAAAUCCGGAUAAUCAAGGCUGAGGUGUGAUGACGAGGCACUACGGUGCUGAAGUAACAAAUGCCCUGCUUCCAGGAAAAGCCUCUAAGCAUCAGGUAACAUCAAAUCGUACCCCAAACCGACACAGGUGGUCAGGUAGAGAAUACCAAGGCGCUUGAGAGAACUCGGGUGAAGGAACUAGGCAAAAUGGUGCCGUAACUUCGGGAGAAGGCACGCUGGUGUGUAGGUGAAGCCCCUGCGGGUGGAGCUGAGACCAGUCGAAGAUACCAGCUGGCUGCAACUGUUUAUUAAAAACACAGCACUGUGCAAACACGAAAGUGGACGUAUACGGUGUGACGCCUGCCCGGUGCCGGAAGGUUAAUUGAUGGGGUUAUCCGUAAGGAGAAGCUCUUGAUCGAAGCCCCGGUAAACGGCGGCCGUAACUAUAACGGUCCUAAGGUAGCGAAAUUCCUUGUCGGGUAAGUUCCGACCUGCACGAAUGGCGUAAUGAUGGCCAGGCUGUCUCCACCCGAGACUCAGUGAAAUUGAACUCGCUGUGAAGAUGCAGUGUACCCGCGGCAAGACGGAAAGACCCCGUGAACCUUUACUAUAGCUUGACACUGAACAUUGAGCCUUGAUGUGUAGGAUAGGUGGGAGGCUUUGAAGCGUGGACGCCAGUCUGCGUGGAGCCAACCUUGAAAUACCACCCUUUAAUGUUUGAUGUUCUAACGUUGGCCCCUUACCGGGGUUGCGGACAGUGUCUGGUGGGUAGUUUGACUGGGGCGGUCUCCUCCCAAAGCGUAACGGAGGAGCACGAAGGUUAGCUAAUCCUGGUCGGACAUCAGGAGGUUAGUGCAAUGGCAUAAGCUAGCUUGACUGCGAGCGUGACGGCGCGAGCAGGUGCGAAAGCAGGUCAUAGUGAUCCGGUGGUUCUGAAUGGAAGGGCCAUCGCUCAACGGAUAAAAGGUACUCCGGGGAUAACAGGCUGAUACCGCCCAAGAGUUCAUAUCGACGGCGGUGUUUGGCACCUCGAUGUCGGCUCAUCACAUCCUGGGGCUGAAGUAGGUCCCAAGGGUAUGGCUGUUCGCCAUUUAAAGUGGUACGCGAGCUGGGUUUAGAACGUCGUGAGACAGUUCGGUCCCUAUCUGCCGUGGGCGCUGGAGAAUUGAGGGGGGCUGCUCCUAGUACGAGAGGACCGGAGUGGACGCAUCACUGGUGUUCGGGUUGUCAUGCCAAUGGCACUGCCCGGUAGCUAAAUGCGGAAGAGAUAAGUGCUGAAAGCAUCUAAGCACGAAACUUGCCCCGAGAUGAGUUCUCCCUGAGACUUUAAGUCUCCUGAAGGAACGUUGAAGACGACGACGUUGAUAGGCCGGGUGUGUAAGCGCAGCGAUGCGUUGAGCUAACCGGUACUAAUGAACCGUGAGGCUUAACCUU